CUACCGGACAAGAAAGUUGCAUGAUUGAAUUCCCCGCUAGUAUAAGACACAUGCCAAUUAUCGACGCCUCUACUCUGCUCAUGACGUCUUGGACGUUAUAUGAGAUGUAAUACAUAAGUAUCAUCACAACCAAGAAGAAUAUAUAACACCCGCCCCUCCAGUCCUAAUCGAUAUCUUGGGAUUGGAACAUCUUUGAACAAGCACCUAAUUACCAAGGUACAGAGUAUUCGCAGCCCUCAGUGUU
Long non-coding RNA from Arabidopsis thaliana (thale cress), 244 nucleotides. RefSeq annotates it as other RNA. Lineage: Eukaryota; Viridiplantae; Streptophyta; Magnoliopsida; Brassicales; Brassicaceae. The record is from RefSeq. The transcript has a single exon.